Molecule: non-coding RNA, 29 nt
Filed under: Mus musculus (house mouse)
Lineage: Eukaryota; Metazoa; Chordata; Mammalia; Rodentia; Muridae
Source: RNAcentral
UCCUUCUUUGUCAGAACUGUGCCUGAGAA